RNAcentral lists this ribosomal RNA (1002 nucleotides) under Shigella flexneri. RNAcentral describes it as "bacterial SSU rRNA". It matches the Rfam family "Bacterial small subunit ribosomal RNA", at positions 113 to 1108 of the family's 1533-position model. The record is from RNAcentral. Lineage: Bacteria; Pseudomonadati; Pseudomonadota; Gammaproteobacteria; Enterobacterales; Enterobacteriaceae.
AUGACUGGAAACUACCUGAUGAAGGGGGAUAACUACAGGAAACGGAAGCUAAUACCGCAUAACGUCGCAGACCAAAGAGGGGGACCUUCGGGCCUCUUGCCAUCGGAUGUGCCCAGAUGGGAUUAGCUAGUAGGUGGGGUAACGGCUCACCUAGGCGACGAUCCCUAGCUGGUCUGAGAGGAUGACCAGCCACACUGGAACUGAGACACGGUCCAGACUCCUACGGGAGGCAGCAGUGGGGAAUAUUGCACAACGAGCGCAACCCUGAUGCGGCCCUGCCGCGUGUAUGAAGAAGGCCUUCGGGUUGUAAAGUACUUUCAGCGGGGAGGAAGGGAGUAAAGUUAAUACCUUUACUCUUUGACGUUACCCGCAGAAGAAGCACCGGCUAACUCCGUGCCAGCAGCCGCGGUAAUACGGAGGGUGCAAGCGUUAAUCGGAAUUACUGGGCGUAAAGCGCACGCAGGCGGUUUGUUAAGUCAGAUGUGAAAUCCCCGGGCUCAACCUGGGAACUGCAUCUGAUACUGGCAAGCUUGAGUCUCGUAGAGGGGGGUAGAAUUCCAGGUGUAGCGGUGAAAUGCGUAGAGAUCUGGAGAAAUACCGGUGUCGAAGGCGGCCCCCUGACGAAGACUGACGCUCAGGUGCGAAAGCGUGGGGAGCAAACAGGAUUAGAUACCCUGGUAGUCCACGGCCGUAAACGAUGUCGACUUGGAGUUGUGCCCUUUGAGGUGUGGCUUCCGGAGCUAACCGCGUUAGUCGACCGCCUGGGGGAGUACGGCCGCAAGGGUAAAACUCCAAUGAAUUGACGGGGGCCCGCACAGCCGGUGGUAGCAUGUGGCUUUAUUUCGAUGCACCCGAAGAAACCUUACCUGGUCCUUGACAUCCCACGUAGUUUCAGAGAUGAGAAUGGUGCCUCGGAACCGUGAAAACGGUGCUGCAUGGUCCUGUCACUCAUGCUUCGGUGUUGGAAUGUGGUUUAGUUCACGCCAACGAGGCAAACCAUAU